GGAUUGUGGCCCAGUGGUAGAGUGCUCGCCUAGCACGUGGGAGGCCCUGGGUUCAAUCCUCAGCACCA
Molecule: transfer RNA, 68 nt
Filed under: Marmota monax (woodchuck)
Lineage: Eukaryota; Metazoa; Chordata; Mammalia; Rodentia; Sciuridae
Description: tRNA.Ala
Rfam family: tRNA (bases 5-65)
About the family: Transfer RNA (tRNA) molecules are approximately 80 nucleotides in length. Their secondary structure includes four short double-helical elements and three loops (D, anti-codon, and T loops). Further hydrogen bonds mediate the characteristic L-shaped molecular structure. tRNAs have two regions of fundamental functional importance: the anti-codon, which is responsible for specific mRNA codon recognition, and the 3' end, to which the tRNAs corresponding amino acid is attached (by aminoacyl-tRNA synthetases). tRNAs cope with the degeneracy of the genetic code in two manners: having more than one tRNA (with a specific anti-codon) for a particular amino acid; and 'wobble' base-pairing, i.e. permitting non-standard base-pairing at the 3rd anti-codon position.
Source: RNAcentral